Molecule: ribosomal RNA, 460 nt
Filed under: uncultured bacterium
Lineage: Bacteria
Description: partial 16S ribosomal RNA
Rfam family: Bacterial small subunit ribosomal RNA
Source: RNAcentral
CCUACGGGAGGCAGCAGUGAGGAAUAUUGGUCAAUGGACGAAAGUCUGAACCAGCCAAGUAGCGUGAAGGAUGACUGCCCUAUGGGUUGUAAACUUCUUUUAUAUGGGAAUAAAAUGUUCCACGUGUGGGUGUUUGUAUUUACCCUAUGAAUAAGGAUCGACUAACUACGUGCCAGCAGCCGCGGUAAUACGGAGGAUCCGAGGGUUAUCCGGAUUUAUUUGGUUUAAAGGGAGCGUAGGUGGAUUGUUAAGUCAGUUGUGAAAGUUUUCGGCUCAACCGGAAAAGUGCAGUUGAAACUGGCAGUCUUGAGUACAGGAGAGGUUGGCGGAAUUCGUGGUGUAGCGGUGAAAUGCGUAGAUAGCACGAAGAACUCCGAUUGCGAAGGCAGAUCACUGGACUGCAACUGACACUGAGGCUCGAAAGUGUGGGUAUCAAACAGGAUUAGAUACCCGAGUAGUC